UUCAGUCUGCCAUCUUCAGUCAUCAAUCAUGCACCUGAACUUUUCCGUGAAACUUGAAGGACUCGGGGUGCCAUUACAGAGAGCUGUGUGAGAAUUUGUUGGUCCACAUCAACACUGGCGUGGUCUCACAGAGUCGAAAGGAGCUCAUGUUAAGAGGAAGACAAAGGAGGAAAGACAUGUAUUAAAAUAGUCAUAACUCAUACAAUUAAAUAAGGAGGCUGUUACGUUCAGGCUCGGACACAAAAGGUAAGUGGUAAUACAAAAUGAGGUUUAUUGAACAGGUGAUAUAUUGCAAGGUGAGAGGGUGAUCUUUAGAGGGGAGUAGAGUCUCUUGAAGCGUGAUUCUUGGUAAUAGAUGAGAGGUGAUGAUAAUGUUUUCUUUCCCACAGAGAAUUCAAGAUGACAAGACGAGGGGAUCCGUAAUGGCACACGCACACACUCUGAAGAAGGGCGAUCUAUGAGGAGAGGACAACACAAGGAGGAAGAGCACAGGAAGUAAGGUACACAAGGUCUACAAUAUCGAACUCAACAGCUCUUUUAAGAGCCAACCCUCACAAACCUUCCUAAAAACUAAAAGUUAUUACUGAGUCUUAACGAAUCUUGCCAUGAUCAGCCCUUCCCAGAAGCGAAGGAAGAUCAAGGAAAUUCUUUGUUCAGGGUGAGGAAUGAACAUGGCCAUCUUGCGCCCAAACGAAGACAGAAAGGUGCGCAAGUCCACUGAUGGAAGCAAGAGGGGAUAGGAUAGGAGUGAAAGAAGAGGAUGUUGUAAAUUGUCUUCAAAGAAAAAGCUUCUCAAAAGGCCUUAAAACAGCUUAAAAAAAUGGUCUGGGAACAGACACGAGGGAAGAAGAUCAUGAUGGGGAAAUGGACGGGGAAGAGCAAGAAACCAGUUUAGAUGUGAU
Onychostoma macrolepis is the source of this 902-nucleotide long non-coding RNA. RefSeq lists it as uncharacterized. Lineage: Eukaryota; Metazoa; Chordata; Actinopteri; Cypriniformes; Cyprinidae. The transcript has 5 exons. The record is from RefSeq and is a predicted model, not a curated record.